GGCCUUCUGGUUCUUACCGCAGGCUGUGUUCUUAUAUCUCCUGUACAGAAAGAGAGGCAGAGUAAACCCACCCCAUAUACACCGCAGCUCAGGCCCUUUGCCUGGUCUGUAUUGUGAAUAGGGGAACAUGG
This is a small nucleolar RNA of Artibeus jamaicensis (Jamaican fruit-eating bat), 131 nucleotides long. RefSeq annotates it as small nucleolar RNA SNORA51. The transcript has a single exon. The record is from RefSeq and is a predicted model, not a curated record. Lineage: Eukaryota; Metazoa; Chordata; Mammalia; Chiroptera; Phyllostomidae.